UUAGGAGUGCCAGAAGUUUAUGGGUUGGAUUUAGGUUUCAAUAAUGGUUUUUUUCCCUCCUAAG
Molecule: transfer RNA, 64 nt
Filed under: Hysteromorpha triloba
Lineage: Eukaryota; Metazoa; Platyhelminthes; Trematoda; Diplostomida; Diplostomidae
Description: tRNA-Leu
Source: RNAcentral